This 253-nucleotide ribosomal RNA is filed under the name uncultured bacterium. RNAcentral's name for it is "partial 16S ribosomal RNA". It matches the Rfam family "Bacterial small subunit ribosomal RNA", at positions 524 to 776 of the family's 1533-position model. The record is from RNAcentral.
UACGUAGGGUGCAAGCGUUAAUCGGAAUUACUGGGCGUAAAGCGUGCGCAGGCGGUUGUGCAAGACAGAUGUGAAAUCCCUGGGCUUAACCUAGGAACUGCAUUUGUGACUGCAUUGCUAGAGUGUGGUAGAGGGAGAUGGAAUUCCGCAUGUAGCAGUGAAAUGCGUAGAUAUGCGGAGGAACACCAAUGGCGAAGGCAAUCUCCUGGACCUGCACUGACGCUCAUGCACGAAAGCGUGGGGAGCAAACAGG